GCCUGGUUGGCUCAGUCAGUAGAGCAUGUGACUCUUGAUCUUGGGGUUGUGGGUUCGAGCCCCAUGUUGGGUG
RNAcentral lists this transfer RNA (73 nucleotides) under Ailuropoda melanoleuca (giant panda). It matches the Rfam family "tRNA". Rfam says of the family: Transfer RNA (tRNA) molecules are approximately 80 nucleotides in length. Their secondary structure includes four short double-helical elements and three loops (D, anti-codon, and T loops). Lineage: Eukaryota; Metazoa; Chordata; Mammalia; Carnivora; Ursidae. The record is from Rfam by way of RNAcentral.